RNAcentral lists this ribosomal RNA (409 nucleotides) under uncultured Geothrix sp. Its description in RNAcentral is "bacterial SSU rRNA". It matches the Rfam family "Bacterial small subunit ribosomal RNA", at positions 982 to 1393 of the family's 1533-position model. Lineage: Bacteria; Pseudomonadati; Acidobacteriota; Holophagae; Holophagales; Holophagaceae. The record is from RNAcentral.
GGGACUACUUGUCCGGUGCAGAGAUGUGCCUUUUCGCAAGAACAGUGGCAGAGGUGCUGCAUGGCUGUCGUCAGCUCGUGUCGUGAGAUGUUGGGUUAAGUCCCGCAACGAGCGCAACCCUUACCCGUAGUUGCCAGCGAGUCAUGUCGGGAACUCUACGGGGACUGCCCGGGUUAACCGGGAGGAAGGUGGGGAUGAUGUCAAGUCCUCAUGGCCCUUAUGUCCAGGGCUACACACGUGCUACAAUGGGCGGUACAAACCGUUGCGAAGUCGCGAGAUGGAGCCAAUCGGAAAAAGCCGUCCUCAGUUCGGAUUGCAGUCUGCAACUCGACUGCAUGAAGUUGGAAUCGCUAGUAAUCGUGUAUCAGAAUGAUACGGUGAAUACGUUCCCGGGUCUUGUACACACCGA